Molecule: ribosomal RNA, 460 nt
Filed under: uncultured bacterium
Lineage: Bacteria
Description: bacterial SSU rRNA
Rfam family: Bacterial small subunit ribosomal RNA
Source: RNAcentral
GAUGAACGUUGGCGGCGUGCCUAAUACAUGCAAGUCGAACGAGGACUGUAGUAAUACUGUCUUAGUGGCGAACGGGUGAGUAACGCGUGGGUGACCUGCCCCGAAGUGUGGGAUAACAGUCCGAAAGGAUUGCUAAUACUGCAUAAUAUCCAAGAGAUUAGAUGCUUUUGGAUUAAAGGAGUAAUUCGCUUCGGGAGGGGCCCGCGUCCCAUCAGCUAGUUGGUAAGGUAAUGGCUUACCAAGGCGAUGACGGGUAGGGGACCUGAGAGGGUGGCCCCCCACAAUGGAACUGAAACACGGUCCAUACACCUACGGGUGGCAGCAGUAGGGAAUAUUAGUAAUGGGCGAAAGCCUGAACUAGCAACGCCGCGUGUGCGAAGAAGGCCUUCGGGUCGUAAAGCACUUUUUGAGAGGAUGAGGAAGGACGGUACUCUCAGAAUAAGUCUCGGCUAACUACGUG